Uranotaenia lowii is the source of this 458-nucleotide long non-coding RNA. RefSeq lists it as uncharacterized. The record is from RefSeq and is a predicted model, not a curated record. The transcript has 3 exons. Lineage: Eukaryota; Metazoa; Arthropoda; Insecta; Diptera; Culicidae.
GAAACAUCCCGGUUCGAGUAAACAUGACAAGGAGCUGCUAAAAAAGAGAGUCCUGUGAGGACAGCAGAAAACAGCAUUGGAAUCUGCUGACAGCGGAAGCUUGUAGGACAGGAAAAGAGGCUUUCAAUAGAAAUUUUUCAAAAGCACGAAUGUUUGAAAGUGCGAACCAGUGCUGAGGAAGCGCAGACACUGCAGAACAUGCUGGGGAACUACCUGGACCAUGAGAUAGUGGGUCUGAAUGGAAAAAUUCUCGGAGCCUAUCCAGUUGAACCUUCGGUAGAUGUGCAUCAAAAAGUCCUACCAAAAGCUUGAGGGAACAGCCGUUUAAUUCUAAAAGAUUCUUCGUUCCCCUCUGGGAUGGGCAGCAUAGACGUAAUCAGUACCGGAUGUUGGAUGUUCCAUGUUGGUUGAGCCAUGAUAGUUAUUCAGUAAAAUUAAAAAAAAAAAAUAUUCCGACC